CUUGCUUCUCUUGAGAGCGGCGGACGGGUGAGUAAUGCCUAGGAAUCUGCCUGGUAGUGGGGGAUAACGUUCGGAAACGGACGCUAAUACCGCAUACGUCCUACGGGAGAAAGCAGGGGACCUUCGGGCCUUGCGCUAUCAGAUGAGCCUAGGUCGGAUUAGCUAGUUGGUGGGGUAAUGGCUCAUCAAGGCGACGAUCCGUAACUGGUCUGAGAGGAUGAUCAGUCACACUGGAACUGAGACACGGUCCAGACUCCUACGGGAGGCAGCAGUGGGGAAUAUUGGACAAUGGGCGAAAGCCUGAUCCAGCCAUGCCGCGUGUGUGAAGAAGGUCUUCGGAUUGUAAAGCACUUUAAGUUGGGAGGAAGGGUUGUAGAUUAAUACUCUGCAAUUUUGACGUUACCGACAGAAUAAGCACCGGCUAACUCUGUGCCAGCAGCCGCGGUAAUACAGAGGGUGCAAGCGUUAAUCGGAAUUACUGGGCGUAAAGCGCGCGUAGGUGGUUUGUUAAGUUGGAUGUGAAAUCCCCGGGCUCAACCUGGGAACUGCAUUCAAAACUGACUGACUAGAGUAUGGUAGAGGGUGGUGGAAUUUCCUGUGUAGCGGUGAAAUGCGUAGAUAUAGGAAGGAACACCAGUGGCGAAGCGACCACCUGGACUAAUACUGACACUGAGGUGCGAAAGCGUGGGGAGCAAAC
RNAcentral lists this ribosomal RNA (697 nucleotides) under uncultured bacterium. Its description in RNAcentral is "bacterial SSU rRNA". It matches the Rfam family "Bacterial small subunit ribosomal RNA", at positions 79 to 773 of the family's 1533-position model. The record is from RNAcentral.